This 87-nucleotide microRNA precursor is filed under the name Notamacropus eugenii (tammar wallaby). RNAcentral's name for it is "miRNA (ENSMEUG00000017537.1)". The record is from RNAcentral. Lineage: Eukaryota; Metazoa; Chordata; Mammalia; Diprotodontia; Macropodidae.
GCUCCGCCGGGACGGGCCGGGCUGGGCUGGGCUUGUUUGCCCCGCUCCGGGACGGGGGCUCCAGCCUGGGCCGCUUCGGGGGCUUCG